RNAcentral lists this ribosomal RNA (442 nucleotides) under uncultured bacterium. Its description in RNAcentral is "partial 16S ribosomal RNA". It matches the Rfam family "Bacterial small subunit ribosomal RNA", at positions 338 to 795 of the family's 1533-position model. The record is from RNAcentral.
CCUACGGGGUGCUGCAGUAGGGAAUCUUUCACAAUGGGCGAAAGCCUGAUGGAGCAACGCCGCGUGCAGGAUGAAGGCCUUCGGGUUGUAAACUGCUUUUAUAAGCGAGAAAUAUGAUGGUAACUUAUGAAUAAGGAUCGGCUAACUACGUGCCAGCAGCCGCGGUCAUACGUAGGAGCCGAGCAUUAUCCGGAGUUACUGGGUGUAAAGAGUUGGGUAGGUGGCCUGAGAAGUAGCUAGUGAAAUCUGGUGGCUCAACCAUUCAGACUAUUAGCUAAACUGUUAAGCUCGAGAGCGGUAGAGGUAAGUGGAAUUUCUAGUGUAGGAGUGAAAUCCGUAGAUAUUAGAAGGAACACCAGUAGCGUAGGCAGGUUACUGGGACGGUUCUGACACUGAGGCACGAAAGCGUAGGGAGCAAACGGGAUUAGAUACCCGGGUAGUC